Non-coding RNA from Lonchura striata (white-rumped munia), 266 nucleotides. Lineage: Eukaryota; Metazoa; Chordata; Aves; Passeriformes; Estrildidae. The record is from RefSeq and is a predicted model, not a curated record.
GCCCCCGAGCGGCGGCUACGGGCAGCAGGGACACUACGGAGCCGCCUCCUCCAACAGCUACGGGCAGGAGGGCGGCUCGCUGAGCUCGGGCGGGUACCAGGAGCCCGGCGGCGGCUACGGAGCCGCGGCGCCGAGCGAGCGCAGCCGCGGGCGCGGCGCCUUCGGCACCCGCGGCGGCUUCGAGCGCGGCGCCCGCGGCGCCCGCGGCACCCGCGGCGGCAACAUGGGGUGAGUGAGGGGGAAAAUGGGGUGAGAAACGGGGAAAA